CUGGAGAUACUACAUGACUUGGAGGCGGGAGAGGCUGCCGGUAGUCCUGGGGUAGGAGUGAAAUCCUCUGAUCCCAGGAGGACCUGCAGUGGCGAAGGCGGGCAGCCAGAACGCGCUCGACGUUGAGGGGCGAAAGCUGGGGGAGCGAACCGGAUUAGAUAACCGGGUAGUCCCACCGUAACNCCAGCAAUUUUUNNNNCGAGCACAGGAACUNCGUCGAGCACG
This 225-nucleotide ribosomal RNA is filed under the name uncultured archaeon. RNAcentral's name for it is "partial 16S ribosomal RNA". It matches the Rfam family "Archaeal small subunit ribosomal RNA", at positions 575 to 797 of the family's 1478-position model. The record is from RNAcentral.